GGGGGGAGCAAGCGUUGUUCGGAUUUACUGGGCGUAAAGGGCGCGUAGGCGGCCAGCGUAAGUCAGUUGUGAAAUCUCCGAGCUUAACUCGGAAAGGUCAACUGAUACUGCGCGGCUAGAGUGCGGAAGGGGCAACUGGAAUUCUUGGUGUAGCGGUGAAAUGCGUAGAUAUCAAGAGGAACACCUGCGGCGAAGGCGGGUUGCUGGGCCGACACUGACGCUGAGGCGCGAAAGCUAGGGGAGCGAACGGGAUUAGAUACCCCGGUAGUCCUAGCCUUAAACGAUGAAUGCUUGGUGUCUGGGGUUAUAUAGUCCCCGGGUGCCGUCGCUAACGCUUUAAGCAUUCCGCCUGGGGAGUACGGUCGCAAGACUG
Molecule: ribosomal RNA, 373 nt
Filed under: uncultured bacterium
Lineage: Bacteria
Description: bacterial SSU rRNA
Rfam family: Bacterial small subunit ribosomal RNA
Source: RNAcentral